This 462-nucleotide ribosomal RNA is filed under the name uncultured bacterium. Its description in RNAcentral is "partial 16S ribosomal RNA". It matches the Rfam family "Bacterial small subunit ribosomal RNA", at positions 338 to 795 of the family's 1533-position model. The record is from RNAcentral.
CCUACGGGUGGCAGUAGUGAGGAAUAUUGGUCAAUGGACGCAAGUCUGAACCAGCCAAGUAGCGUGCAGGAUGACGGCCCUCCGGGUUGUAAACUGCUUUUAGUUGGGAAUAAAAGGGGGCUCGUGAGCCCCGUAUUGUAUGUACCAUCAGAAAAAGGACCGGCUAAUUCCGUGCCAGCAGCCGCGGUAAUACGGAAGGUCCGGGCGUUAUCCGGAUUUAUUGGGUUUAAAGGGAGCGUAGGCCGGCUUUUAAGUCAGCUGUGAAAGUCCGCGGCUCAACCGUGGAAUUGCAGUUGAAACUGGAGGCCUUGAGUGCACACAGGGAUGCCGGAAUUCGUGGUGUAGCGGUGAAAUGCUUAGAUAUCACGAAGAACUCCGAUUGCGAAGGCAGCUCACUGGACUGCAACUGACACUGAGGCUCGAAAGUGUGGGUAUCAAACAGGAUUAGAUACCCGUGUAGUC